CAGAAACAAUAAUAUUAAUGUUUUAACUCAGGAAAAGUUCAGAAAUCAAUAUUUGGUGGAAUAACCAGGAGGUUUUCAAUGGAGUUCAUUGCAGUGGGCUCUUAGCUUUUUCCAGACCUGUAUAUCUGGUGUUUUGCCAAA
Poecilia latipinna (sailfin molly) is the source of this 141-nucleotide long non-coding RNA. RefSeq lists it as uncharacterized. The transcript is spliced from 3 exons. NCBI's taxonomy places the organism in Eukaryota, Metazoa, Chordata, Actinopteri, Cyprinodontiformes, Poeciliidae. The record is from RefSeq and is a predicted model, not a curated record.